This 467-nucleotide ribosomal RNA is filed under the name uncultured bacterium. Its description in RNAcentral is "partial 16S ribosomal RNA". It matches the Rfam family "Bacterial small subunit ribosomal RNA", at positions 28 to 507 of the family's 1533-position model. The record is from RNAcentral.
GACGAACGCUGGCGGCGUGCUUAACACAUGCAAGUCGAACGGAAAGGCCUCUUUCGGGGGGUACUCGAGUGGCGAACGGGUGAGUAACACGUGAGUAACCUGCCCUUGACUUUGGGUUAACUUCAGGAAACUGUGGCUAAUACCGGAUAGGAGCUCCUGCUGCAUGGUGGGGGUUGGAAAGUUUGGGCGGUUGGGGAUGGACUCGCGGCUUAUCAGCUUGUUGGUGGGGUAGUGGCUUACCAAGGCUUUGACGGGUAGCCGGCCUGAGAGGGUGACCGGCCACAUUGGGACUGAGAUACGGCCCAGACUCCUACGGGAGGCAGCAGUGGGGAAUAGUGCACAAUGGGUGGAAGCCUGAUGCAGCAACGCCGUGUGCGGGAUGACGGCCUUCGGGUUGUAAAACGCUUUCGCUCAUGACGAAGCUUUGUGUGACGGUAGUGGGUAAAGAAGCACCGGCUAACUACGUG